Molecule: ribosomal RNA, 253 nt
Filed under: uncultured bacterium
Lineage: Bacteria
Description: partial 16S ribosomal RNA
Rfam family: Bacterial small subunit ribosomal RNA
Source: RNAcentral
UACGUAGGUGGCGAGCGUUGUCCGGAUUUACUGGGCGUAAAGAGCGCGCAGGCGGUCGAUCAAGUCGGAUGUGAAAGCCCCCGGCUCAACUGGGGAGGGUCAUUCGAUACUGGUCGACUCGAAGGCAGGAGAGGGAAGCGGAAUUCCCGGUGUAGUGGUGAAAUGCGUAGAUAUCGGGAGGAACACCAGUGGCGAAGGCGGCUUCCUGGCCUGUUCUUGACGCUGAGGCGCGAAAGCUAGGGGAGCGAACGGG